This is a long non-coding RNA of Triplophysa rosa, 852 nucleotides long. RefSeq lists it as uncharacterized. The record is from RefSeq and is a predicted model, not a curated record. NCBI's taxonomy places the organism in Eukaryota, Metazoa, Chordata, Actinopteri, Cypriniformes, Nemacheilidae. The transcript has 3 exons.
UGGUGAAAUCAUGUUUCUUUAGCAGUGACUGUGAGCAAUACCAGUGAUGUGCUGUAUUCACAGGUCGACACCAAGAAAAAGAAACCGAAGAGCAAAGAUCAUGUGAGUGGAGCAGCUGAUGUCACCUAUGCUGACAUUGAACUGAAACCUAAGAAAGAAGUGAAGAAAAAGAAAGAGAAGAACGAUAUUUCUUCUGGAUCGAAUGAUGUGACUUAUGCUCAGAUAAAAUAAAACAAACAGAGGAGAAAAAGACAGCAAUAGUCAAACCUUCAUGUACAUCACAGUAAAUGCUUGAUCAUCUUUCUUUUUUAAUAGCCACAUGUUUUCUGUUAUAAUCACCACUGCAUUGAUUUACUGUUGAUUCAGUUCAUUGGCUGGAGACACGUGUAUGACAUGUAUCAGGGAUCUUUUCACAAUCUUUUUAUUAACUUUUAUGGAAUCUGGUUGAAUCAGAAGACAACAUUUAUGUCAAAUGAAAUAUUCAAGCAAGUUAUGAUUGAUAUGAUUGUUUUCUGUGAGUAUGAGUCUUGUAAAAAAUACUUUUAUAUCGCUGCUGUGCUGCAGUAAAGUGUCUGUAAAAGCACCUUUUCACGACACGCCAGAGGAAGAGAGAGAUCAUGUUCUUCAGAUUUAAUAAUGUCAGUGCUGUGGGUUUGUGUGAGGGUUAUGUUUAUAGUAAAUAUAGUAAAUAUCAUGCUCCUGUGUGAUAUUAGAAACCAUAGCCACUGUAUGCAGUAUAAAGGUCUUGAAUGGUAUUUGUAUGUGAGAUAAACAAAAUGCUUUUUAUUUUCAUAUAACAACAGGUCGUUUUGUUAGAAGAUGUGGUUGUAUGUGAAAAUGUGUGCAUUCGGU